Molecule: unclassified non-coding RNA, 240 nt
Filed under: soil metagenome
Description: partial contains 5.8S ribosomal RNA, internal transcribed spacer 2, and large subunit ribosomal RNA
Source: RNAcentral
AACCAUUCUCACCUGCGGCUAGACCUGCGGAGGGAUCAUUAUUGAAUCAAAAUUGCGAAAAUUGAGGAGGCCAUAGCGGGAGAAACACCCCCAGGGAACUGAGAAUAGGCCGCAAGGCCGCAAUGUAGACCAACGUUCCAAUCUUUUGUGGGUGUUUUGGCUUGUUUGUGGCAGCCUUCUUUUUCACUAAACCGCAAGUCGGUUUAUCCUUGUCUAUGAGCACUCUUGUUUCCUCGGCGG